RNAcentral lists this ribosomal RNA (238 nucleotides) under uncultured bacterium. RNAcentral's name for it is "partial 16S ribosomal RNA". It matches the Rfam family "Bacterial small subunit ribosomal RNA", at positions 102 to 334 of the family's 1533-position model. The record is from RNAcentral.
CCGACGGGUGAGUAACACGUAUGCAAUCCACCUGUAACAGGGGAUAACCCGGAGAAAUCCGGACUAAUACCCCAUAAUAUGGGCGCUCCGCAUGGAGAGCCCAUUAAAGAGAGCAAUUUUGGUUACAGACGAGCAUGCGCUCCAUUAGCCAGUUGGCGGGGUAACGGCUCACCAAAGCGACGAUGGAUAGGGGUUCUGAGAGGAAGGUCCCCCACAUUGGAACUGAGACACGGUCCAA